AUAACUUCCGAAAAGGUAAGCUAAUACCGCAUACUUCCUACGGGAGAAAGCAGGGGACUCUUCGGACCCUUGCGCUAUUAGAUGAGCCUAGGUCGGAUUAGUUAGUUGGUGAGGUAAUGGCUCACCAAGACCGCGAUCCGUAACUGUUCUGAGAGGAUGAUCAGUCACACUGGAACUGAGACACGGUCCAGACUCCUACGGGAGGCAGCAGUGGGGAAUAUUGGACAAUGGGGGGAACCCUGAUCCAGCCAUGCCGCGUGUGUGAAGAAGGCCUUCGGGUUGUAAAGCACUUUAAUUUGGGAGGAAGGGCUUACGGUUAAUAACCGCUAAGUUUUGACGUUACCAAAAGAAUAAGCACCGGCUAACUUCGUGCCAGCAGCCGCGGUAAUACGAAGGGUGCAAGCGUUAAUCGGAAUUACUGGGCGUAAAGCGCGCGUAGGUGGUUCAGUAAGUUAGGAGUGAAAGCCCCGGGCUCAACCUGGGAAUUGCUUCUAAAACUGCUGGGCUAGAGUACAGUAGAGGGUGGUGGAAUUUCCUGUGUAGCGGUGAAAUGCGUAGAUAUAGGAAGGAACAUCAGUGGCGAAGGCGACCACCUG
This 596-nucleotide ribosomal RNA is filed under the name uncultured bacterium. Its description in RNAcentral is "bacterial SSU rRNA". It matches the Rfam family "Bacterial small subunit ribosomal RNA", at positions 143 to 731 of the family's 1533-position model. The record is from RNAcentral.